This 243-nucleotide ribosomal RNA is filed under the name uncultured cyanobacterium. RNAcentral describes it as "partial 16S ribosomal RNA". It matches the Rfam family "Bacterial small subunit ribosomal RNA", at positions 524 to 766 of the family's 1533-position model. The record is from RNAcentral. Lineage: Bacteria; Bacillati; Cyanobacteriota.
GACGGAGGAGGCAAGCGUUAUCCGGAAUUAUUGGGCGUAAAGCGUCCGUAGGCGGCUUUUUAAGUCUGUUGUCAAAGCCCACAGCUCAACUGUGGAUCGGCAAUGGAAACUGGGGAGCUUGAGUGUGGUAGGGGUAGAGGGAAUUCCCGGUGUAGCGGUGAAAUGCGUAGAUAUCGGGAAGAACACCAGUGGCGAAGGCGCUCAGCUGGGCCACAACUGACGCUGAUGGACGAAAGCUAGGGG